UACAGAGGGUGCGAGCGUUGUUCGGAAUUACUGGGCGUAAAGCGCGCGCAGGCGGCUCUUUAAGUCUGACGGUGAAAUGCCGGGGCUCAACCCCGUGCCCGCCGGAGAUACUGGAGAGCUGGAGACGAGUAGAGGCAAGCGGAAUUCCGGGUGUAGCGGUGGAAUGCGUAGAGAUCCGGAAGAACACCGGAGGCGAAGGCGGCUUGCUGGGCUCGGUCUGACGCUGAGGCGCGAAAGCGUGGGGAGCGAACAGG
RNAcentral lists this ribosomal RNA (254 nucleotides) under uncultured prokaryote. RNAcentral describes it as "partial 16S ribosomal RNA". It matches the Rfam family "Bacterial small subunit ribosomal RNA", at positions 524 to 776 of the family's 1533-position model. The record is from RNAcentral.